CAGUCGCCACGGUAAUACGUAGGGGGCAAGCGUUGUCCGGAAUUAUUGGGCGUAAAGCGCGCGCAGGCGGUCAUGUAAGUCUGGUGUUUAAUCCCGGGGCUCAACCCCGGAUCGCACUGGAAACUGGGUGACUUGAGUGCAGAAGAGGAGAGUGGAAUUCCACGUGUAGCGGUGAAAUGCGUAGAGAUGUGGAGGAACACCAGUGGCGAAGGCGACUCUCUGGGCUGUAACUGACGCUGAGGCGCGAAAGCGUGGGGAGCAAACAGGAUUAGAUACCCCGGUAGUCCCUGUCUCUUAUACA
Molecule: ribosomal RNA, 301 nt
Filed under: uncultured bacterium
Lineage: Bacteria
Description: partial 16S ribosomal RNA
Rfam family: Bacterial small subunit ribosomal RNA
Source: RNAcentral